AAUGAAAUAGUUUAGUUGGUCAGAACGUUGGAAUCAUAAUCCAAAUGCCAGGGGUUCGAAUCCCUUUUUCAUUA
This 74-nucleotide transfer RNA is filed under the name Thalassiosira nordenskioeldii. RNAcentral describes it as "tRNA-Met". It matches the Rfam family "tRNA". From Rfam's summary of the family: Transfer RNA (tRNA) molecules are approximately 80 nucleotides in length. Their secondary structure includes four short double-helical elements and three loops (D, anti-codon, and T loops). Lineage: Eukaryota; Bacillariophyta; Thalassiosirophyceae; Thalassiosirales; Thalassiosiraceae. The record is from RNAcentral.